This 436-nucleotide ribosomal RNA is filed under the name uncultured bacterium. Its description in RNAcentral is "bacterial SSU rRNA". It matches the Rfam family "Bacterial small subunit ribosomal RNA", at positions 28 to 454 of the family's 1533-position model. The record is from RNAcentral.
GACGAACGCUGGCGGCGUGCCUAAUACAUGCAAGUAGAACGCUGAAGAGAGGAGCUUGCUCUUCUUGGAUGAGUUGCGAACGGGUGAGUAACGCGUAGGUAACCUGCCUUGUAGCGGGGGAUAACUAUUGGAAACGAUAGCUAAUACCGCAUAACAAUAGGUGACACAUGUCAUUUAUUUGAAAGGGGCAAUUGCUCCACUACAAGAUGGACCUGCGUUGUAUUAGCUAGUAGGUGAGGUAACGGCUCACCUAGGCGACGAUACAUGGCCGACCUGAGAGGGUGAUCGGCCACACUGGGACUGAGACACGGCCCAGACUCCUACGGGAGGCAGCAGUAGGGAAUCUUCGGCAAUGGGGGCAACCCUGACCGAGCAACGCCGCGUGAGUGAAGAAGGUUUUCGGAUCGUAAAGCUCUGUUGUAAGUCAAGAACGAGU